Solanum pennellii is the source of this 1158-nucleotide long non-coding RNA. RefSeq lists it as uncharacterized. The transcript is spliced from 6 exons. The record is from RefSeq and is a predicted model, not a curated record. NCBI's taxonomy places the organism in Eukaryota, Viridiplantae, Streptophyta, Magnoliopsida, Solanales, Solanaceae.
UUCUACACAUCGUCUCUCUUCUUCACAAAGAUCGCUCUUCUCUUCUCUCACACACUCUGUUGUCAAGACAAUGGUAAAGAUCAUGGUGGCGAUACAAGGAGGUUUUUGUCAAGGAAAUGAUGAGAUACAGACAUUAUUGGUAUGCUUCUCGAAUCCCACUGCUCGAUCGUAUUCAGGGCUUAAAUUUUGGUUGCAAGCAAUGGCUGCAAAUCCAUCGGGGUUGGAGAAUUGAAUGGUGGAGCGGCCAAACUUGUGGAGGAUCAAGAUUGAUGGGAUAAAACAAGACCUUGGUUCGGUCCUUUUUUCAUUCCCUUCAUUGUGAAAGGUUAGAGAGACUUCAUUAGGUUGUUGCAGAAAAUUCAAUAUUCCAAGCUAAAGCGGAAUCUGCAAUCCUUCAGGUAUUGGUAUGAAUACCUGAAGAUAUUAUACUCUGAUCAAACUAAAAGGUCACAUGUUUAGUGCUGUAGAGUGGUGCUAAUGCUUUCCAUCUUUUGAUGUCAUGCACUGGGACAUUGUGGUUCUUGUUGGGCUUUUGGUGCUGCUGAGUCGUUGUCUGAUUGUUUCUGAUACUCAUUUUGGCUAGGUAAAUUCAUUCCUUCAUGCAAACAAAGUCUUGCAAGUUUAUUCUAGUUAUGGUCACUAAUGAUUCAAUUUUUAUAUGUGAGGCAGAAUAUUUCUAUGUCAGCAAAUGAUAUCGUAGCAUGCUGUGGUCACUGAAGAGGUAGUAAUACUGUUACAUCUUUUUAUAUAUUGUAGGAUUUUUAUACCCAUUUUAAAAAGAUAACCCAUUUUAUACCCAUUUUCCUGUCAGUGUGACCCUUAGUUUGAUAAAAAGGGAUGUUCCCACCCUGGAUAUUGUCAUUCCGUAGUUCAAGAGGAAGUGUGUUAAAAGGAAUCUACACCGGAGUAAGUCCUAGCAUUUUUGCGUCAAUGCGUUCCUGAACGUGGAACUUGAUGUCUGUGAUGCUUUCCUCGACGCCUCAAUGUGAUUACUAAUUCUUCAAGUAAAACACUAAUUAAAUAGGAUUCAUUCAAGUUUCUGAAGAUUUGGGGAAUAACAUUUUAAAGCUUCAUAUUCUUCCCCUCCUAAUUUAUCCGCAACAUUUGUAAUCUGCAACUGUUCCACAAUCUUAAUGAGAGUAAAAGUACUCUUGCCUA